UUAGUGUCUGAGAUCACAGUGUGUGAUUUUGAGCUAUAAACAGGGUUUGCAUAUUUGUAUUUUAUGAGCUUUAUCCAAGGUUUAUUGAAAGACAUGUUCUGUCUUCAUUGGACUUCAAGUGGUAUGAACAGAAUUUUGAAAGCAGUAACACUUUCAGGAUAGAUUUCUGAAACCUUCAGUCUUUUCUUUAGUUUUCAGUGUUCUUUAAGGUGUGCAGUGUAACCAUGUAUCAUGGAUAUAAAACAUACUUAAAAGAUGGUGACAGAUUUGAAGGCACCUUCACAAAUGAAGGUGCCACCAAGUGAUAAUUGUGUGCAUCUCUGGUGCUCAGGUAAGUUGAUCAUACAAAUGCUAGAAAAGUUUCAAGUCUCUCAUAACAAAGACACUACAUUGCUUCCAAAAGUCCAUUCCUUUUCCUGGCCUUUCAUGCCUGUCAUUCUCUUGUGCCAAGUUUGGCAUUCAUCCAACCCUUGGUGAGCCAAAUCUGUGCUCUAAAAUAACAGAAUAAGCCAGCAGAAAAGGUGAGUACUUUCUGCUUGCUUGUUUUGCUGAACUGGAGCAGAACAGGACUGAGUCAUCCGUGGAUCACAAGAGUGCAGAAAGGUAGAACCAAGCUCAUGAACUCAUAAAGAAAACAGCAGCACCAGGGCUGUGCAUAGCUAAUGAGUAAAAGAAGGUCAGAAAGCAAAA
Long non-coding RNA from Haemorhous mexicanus (house finch), 690 nucleotides. RefSeq lists it as uncharacterized. NCBI's taxonomy places the organism in Eukaryota, Metazoa, Chordata, Aves, Passeriformes, Fringillidae. The record is from RefSeq and is a predicted model, not a curated record. The transcript has 2 exons.